CCACCACCGCACAUCACUGAUUAUUAUUAUAUGAGUUUAAUUAUUGGUGAUCUUUCAAAGUUAAAAGAAUUACAUCAGUUUUCAAACUGCCGCCAUCUUAAACCCAAAUCCUCCUUUGUCUCCGUGUUUAAAGCUUUGACCCUUGGAUGGACUGAUGGACCAAAGAGCUGAGGGAGUGUGUGGGUGAGUUUUGAAGCUAUUUCCAUCCAUCCAUCCAUCCAGCUAAUCCCAGCUGGCCAUAGGUGAAGUACACCCUGGACAGGUCACCAGUGCAUCACAGGGCCAACAUCCAGAGACCAUUCACACUCACACUCACACCAACAGACGGUUCACAGUCUCCACUCAACCUGUUCAGAGCAAUAUCACAAUUGAAACUCAUUUAAAUAAAGGCGAUAUCCAGUUUUUUAUUACAUCAAUCCUGUUGUCAUCGUUCUGGGCCAUAAUUCCCAUCGGUUACGACAACAAAAAAAUGAUCUCCAGAGAAGUGAACAUGGUGACAUUGCUUACACCGAAAUCUGAUGGUGCAAGAAGCAAGAGGAGUCACACAAGCCAACCGUUGACACCUAUGUAGAAAGAAAGGAAACAGGAAGUCAGGCACUGGGAGCCAGAUGAAGGGGCGGAGUCUACAAAAGGGGGUAGGAGGUUCACCUAGGCCUUUUUUCCUGCAUUGAGGCACACCUGAGAGAGAGAGAGAGCAUGAGGCCAUGAGGCCAGGUUUUGUUUGGUGUUUGAUUUGUUUGUUUCUUAUUUUAACUCAUUAUGCCAAGCUAAAGAUUUGUUAAAUAAGUAUUAAAAAUGGGUUUUGUAAAGAUGGUUUGUGUUUGACUUGGAGUGACUGCUGAGGCCGAUCAGUCAAGUAAUAAGCAACACCUCGGCCUUCCCAGAUCCUAGCCGCAACUCGGUAAUAGUUGGAAACGGCAUGGAAAUCAUGCCUCUGAGCAUUACAGGGCCCCACUCCGUCUGCAUGGUGCUGCAGCUGUGGGUGGAACUAUCAUUAGUAUUAGCUCUGGAGCUCCUGCCCCGACCCUCCCUGACAUCUCUGUGCAGUGUCCAACUCGGUAAUCCUGCCAAAAUAUAAAAACCUAGCGUUGACUCUUCAAGGGCAUGUCUCACUUCCUCUGGGUUCCAGCGCACCUCUGUGAGGAGCCAGAGGAAGACGAGGAGGAGGGAACAUGCAGUCAAUGAAAGUGUUGGGACCUGGGUACAUUGGAACAGAGAUUUUUGUCAGAAGAAAUGCCUUUUAGUCUGGAGAUUGUGAUUUGUUUUCAGAUGUUU
This is a long non-coding RNA of Hippoglossus stenolepis (Pacific halibut), 1275 nucleotides long. RefSeq lists it as uncharacterized. The transcript is spliced from 3 exons. The record is from RefSeq and is a predicted model, not a curated record. Lineage: Eukaryota; Metazoa; Chordata; Actinopteri; Pleuronectiformes; Pleuronectidae.